Notolabrus celidotus (New Zealand spotty) is the source of this 981-nucleotide long non-coding RNA. RefSeq lists it as uncharacterized. NCBI's taxonomy places the organism in Eukaryota, Metazoa, Chordata, Actinopteri, Labriformes, Labridae. The transcript is spliced from 3 exons. The record is from RefSeq and is a predicted model, not a curated record.
GUUACCCAGAUGACUAAUGAAAACUUGUAAACGAGCAAGGACAGGAAUGAGAGUGCUACAACACUCGUUCAAUACACCAAUAGAGUCAGAGCUCGUUAAUCACUAGGAAAAGAUUUGACAAGCUAACAUGAUAUCAAUGUUAUAGUUUAUACUGUCGUCUUAAUACUGUAAAUUAUUAGCUACAUCAGCCUGCAUGCGGUAGUGACCGAGCGUGUCCUGACAGCAGCAUGUAAACACUGCUAAACGCACUGUUAGCUUCAUGUAGCUAGCCAGUCACCCAACUUAACGAAACUAAAGGCAGCCUGCUAUAUACACAAUCAUAUAUCUGCACUGUCAAAUAUGUGCAAGCUCUAUGUCUUACCAGUUUAGAGCAAAUCUGCAUAUAGCACUACACCAGCCCGCAGGCUAUAGGCCAGGACCGCCAUCUUUGCUCCUCCAUGACAACAAGCACCUGUGAAGCUCUGUGGCGGCGCAGCUCCGUCUGCACCAUCUGCCUGGCCAGCCUCAUGCAACACCGCCUCCUUCUCCAUCUCUAAAGCAGGGUGAGUGACAUUUUGAACAGUGUGAUCACAUGACCAACUGGCUGCCUUAAAACAAGGGAAGGCUCGACUUCUCCACAGGCUCAAAUCAGCUGGCUCUUCUGUGUCUCUGUCACCCUGCAUGUAAAUCGAAGAGUACAGAUAGGUAUUUCUCUUGUAAUCAUGUAUUUUUAAGUUAAUCUUCGACCAAAACUCUGGGAAUCAUUGCUGUCAGAAACACACAGAUGAGAGGAAAAUAUUGCUCUCUGUAAUGAAGGACUUUUAUAUAGCUUGAGAUGUGAAGUGAACGUAUCUCCCAGUUGUGCUUUCCCCUGUAAGGACCUUUUAGUGGCGCCCCCUGUAGGCAAAGUGGUAUGUCUUUUCUGUUUUUUUCCAGUACAUUUGUAAGAAGUGUUUUCUGAAAAGUCAAAACAAAAUAAAAAAAACAAAUAAUCCCCCUGUC